RNAcentral lists this unclassified non-coding RNA (344 nucleotides) under soil metagenome. Its description in RNAcentral is "partial contains 5.8S ribosomal RNA, internal transcribed spacer 2, and large subunit ribosomal RNA". The stretch from base 5 to 119 matches the Rfam family "5.8S ribosomal RNA", at positions 40 to 154 of the family's 154-position model. The record is from RNAcentral.
GAUGAGAACGUAGCGAAAUGCGAUACGUAAUGUGAAUUGCAGAAUUCAGUGAAUCAUCGAGACUUUGAACGCACAUUGCGCCCCCUGGUAUUCCGGGGGGCAUGCCUGUCCGAGCGUCAUUGCUGCCCUCAAGCACGGCUUGUGUGUUGGGCCUCCGUCCUCCUCCCGGGGGACGGGCCCGAAAGGCAGCGGCGGCACCGCGUCCGGUCCUCGAGCGUAUGGGGCUUCGUCACCCGCUCUUGUAGGCCCGGCCGGCGCUUGCCGACACAUCAAUCUUUUUUCCAGGUUGACCUCGGAUCAGGUAGGGAUACCCGCUGAACUUAAGCAUAUCAAUAAGCGGAGGA